GUUACCUUCGGGUAAUGAGGAUGGCGGACGGGUGAGUAACGCGUAAGGAACUUGCCUCUUGGACUGGGACAACUGUUGGAAACGACAGCUAAUACCGGAUAUUAUGAGAUUCUCGCAUGAGAAAUUUAUGAAAGCUAUAUGCGCCAAGAGAGAGCCUUGCGUUACAUUAGCUAGUUGGUGGGGUAACGGCCCACCAAGGCGACGAUGGAUAGCCGGCCUGAGAGGGUGAACGGCCACAAGGGGACUGAGACACGGCCCUUACUCCUACGGGAGGCAGCAGUGGGGAAUAUUGGACAAUGGGCCACAAGCCUGAUCCAGCAAUUCUGUGUGCACGAUGAAGGUCUUCGGAUUGUAAAGUGCUUUCAGUUGGGAAGAAGAAAGUGACGGUACCAACAGAAGAAGCGACGGCUAAAUACGUGCCAGCAGCCGCGGUAAUACGUAUGUCGCAAGCGUUAUCCGGAUUUAUUGGGCGUAAAGCGCGUCUAGGCGGAAAAAUAAGUCUGAUGUUAAAAUGCGGGGCUCAACUCCGUAUUGCGUUGGAAACUGUUUUUCUAGAGUACUGGAGAGGUGGGCGGAACUACAAGUGUAGAGGUGAAAUUCGUAGAUAUUUGUAGGAAUGCCGAUGGAGAAGUCAGCUCACUGGACAGAUACUGACGCUGA
RNAcentral lists this ribosomal RNA (660 nucleotides) under uncultured bacterium. RNAcentral's name for it is "bacterial SSU rRNA". It matches the Rfam family "Bacterial small subunit ribosomal RNA", at positions 73 to 749 of the family's 1533-position model. The record is from RNAcentral.